GUGCUUGCUUUCACAGCACGUACACUAAAAUUAGAAUGAUACAGAGAUUAGAAUGGUCCCUGCCCAAUGAUAACAUGAAAAUUUAUGAAGCAUUCCAUAUUAAA
Small nuclear RNA from Suncus etruscus (white-toothed pygmy shrew), 104 nucleotides. Lineage: Eukaryota; Metazoa; Chordata; Mammalia; Eulipotyphla; Soricidae. The record is from RefSeq and is a predicted model, not a curated record.